Molecule: long non-coding RNA, 3481 nt
Organism: Bombus huntii
Lineage: Eukaryota; Metazoa; Arthropoda; Insecta; Hymenoptera; Apidae
Exons: 3
Source: RefSeq, a predicted model, not a curated record
UCCUGAAAAAAAAAAUUUUUUAUUUAUUUUUUAUUUGUUUGUUUGUUUGUUGAUUUAUUUCUUUACUUAAGUGAUUUAUUUGAAUUGCUUUGAACGUUUAAGUCGAGAGGAAAAUUGUGCUGAGAGAAUUGUGGUUUUUAUUAUAUUUAGUAUUUGGUAUUUUUUGAAUAUCAAUUGUCUUGAAAUUAAUUUAUGUGAAAUGAUAUUAGUUGAGAGCUUAUGAUCUGUACAUAUUUUGUAAAAUUCUUUUUGUUGCGUUAUUCUUUCGAAAUACAUUGGAGUGCAUAAUUUUUAAUCUUAUGCUGGAAAUUAAUUUAUAAAAUACAUUAGCAAGUUACAGUUUGGAAUUUUUUACAUAUUUCUCGAGAAUUCGAAAGAAACAUUUAAUUAUACUUAUGUAAUAAAGCAGAAGGUCAAUAAAAAGUUGAAUUGAUCGGUUUUUGUCUUCUAAGAGGCUCAAAAUGUCAAGAGAAUCAUUGAAAAUCUAAUCUUUUAUUCUUGGUUACUUCAUAUCAAGGAAACUUAUUGAAACAAUGGCACUUACAGAAACUACGUUUCGCAUUUGAUUAAUUGAAAUCUUAAAGGGCACUAAAUUGUACACUUGACAACUCCAAGUUAACACGACUACUAGUAGGCUAGUUUGAUCAAGAACAUAUGUAAACUCCGAAAAUAAACUCCAGAAAACUGCUGAAUCUUUACAUUGUCAUGUUACAUGUUCUACGAUCAGCAAGAAACCAACUACGUACAGUUGCAUUAUCACGGCGUAUAAAAUUUCGUUUACAAUUGAAUACUUGACAUUUUUCUUCCGCAUCUCCCGCGAUAUUAAAACUCAUUAUAACACUUAUAAUUAUUUGAACCGUUCCUUAUAUAUUUUUUAAAUAAAUCAUAUUUCGACAUAGAAGUAAAAGGAAUUAGCCUUUAGGUAUGAAGGUAUUCAAACAAAGACCUCACGAAUAUUUUAUUCCUAAUUUGUAGCCCGCUAUGAAAAAAGGCGGCCUCUCAUGCAUGUAGAUCAGACCACGUACUUAUAGUCCUUUGUGUAAUAUAGCACGAAAGCAGCGGAACAAAUGGGACCGUUAAAGCCUAUGAAGUGGCUUCGUACAUAAAGAGACUCAAAGACUGCUUCUUGUGAUACCGUGUAAAACGAAACAUAGGAAGUAGAACCUGCUUGUACAAGGUAAUUUCACCUUGUCCUUGCCUACGAGGGAACACCUAAUUUAAAUAUUUUUUCUAUUGAUCAUUCAUUUUCACCUACGUAUUUGCAAUUGUACAUUGUGACUAAAACUAGAAGAAAAAGAUUAAAAAGAUCUAACGUAUAAAUUCAUAUUUAAUUUUAAUUAUAACUAUUCUAUAAUAUUAUAUAAUAUAUAUUAUAACUAUUCGAAAUUAAUUUCUUAGAAGUUAAGAAUUAAGUAAAUUAUUUCAUUUUUCUCUGUCCUUGACUGCAAAGAAUGAAAAUCUUCUUUCAUUGAAAUAUUUUAGCAUCUUGAGAUGUUACUGAGAAUCUGUAAUGAUUAUUCGCGUCGUUUUAUGAUUAUCUAUGGGUUCGAUUGAUACGUGUAUAAGGACGAUUAUGGUAAAGAGGAUAACAGAGGAGACAAUGGCAUCGAGGCAAGGUGACGUUGUUUCUUCCCACGAACGAGCCGGAGAUAAACUCCUCUGAAAUAGAUCUCUGACUCUUGUAUGCAACACGGUGUACGGGGGAUAUGGUGGAAAGUAGAACCAUCUAAUCUCCUUUCUGGAAAUCCUCCUGAGAUAGUGAGAUACGUUUCGAAAUGUCUGCUUCGAUCUUUAUUCUGACGUUUUACGUUGCGCGGCUGAGAACGAGAUACCACGAGGAAAUGCUAAAAAGAAAAAGAUAAAGAAAUACCUAUGCUUCGUGUUGCAAUAACACUAUAAGAGACCUAUAUUUACACAGUAAUCAUGUAUUCGAAUAGAGAAGAUUAUUUGAAUAUAUCGAGUAGUUUAAAGAAAUCUUUUCUACUUGAAUAAGCUGAUCUUUCGGAGAUUCGAUAUAUUUAUUUAGGUUAAGUACGAAUUUAAAUUCAAGUGUUUCAGAUACUUGGAGAAUUUAAUUUUGCUUAAGUUACCUGAGACGUCUAAUGAAACGAGUUUAUCUCGAGUUCCUGGUAUUUAAAAUUCGUUGAAUGAUGAUAUAAUGUUACUAAAGUUUACGAUUUACUAUGCGAUUCAAAGGAUUAUAUUCUGGUACUAAUAGGGAUAUACUAAGGAAAAAAACAAAUCUUGAAAGGCCACCAUGUGGAAAGACUAAAAAGGGUUGAGAUUGAGAAAAGCGUUCACGAGGCGUCUAAAAUCGGAACAUGAGAGUCAGAUCAUCGGCUCCCGAUCGGCCGACGCGACGUAUUCACGGUGAUUUGUUGGUGAAGAUUCACGAUUGAAGGACUUGGCAAAGUGUUCGCGGGCUCGGCCGCGGUACGUUUCGCACGAGAUUUUCACGUCGCCGCUACGUGUGCGUAUGAUGUCAACGUGGAUAUUAUUCCGACCGGACGAGGACGGGCAUCGGUGAAAAAUAGGAAGAGGAAGAAAGAAGGAAUAAAAAGGGAGAUGGCUCGAAAUCGGUACGAGUCACUGACUGGCGGCAUUCUAUUUACGCGAUCGACUCUAUAUUUAGAAUUUCCGACAUCUUCAUUUUGCUCACCGCGAAAACGUCUCCUCUCUGUCGCGAAUCCGUCGAAGGUCGUCACGACAGUCAACGGAGUUUGGAUUCUUAUUUGGCUGGACGCUGCGUCGGUCUCGCGGCUCUUCAUUCCGCUUAACCAAUAAAAUUUCGCUGGCAACACCACCGUGAAAUUUCAAAAACUUCAUAUCCCCUCUUCCCCAUUCCGAACUCUCGUUGACGCACUUUGAACAACAGUACAGUCUUUUUGAACCGUAUUUGGAUACGAGGAAUGCGACUCGUAAUAAAGGAACUGUUGUACAACUAUUCCGAAGCUUUCACGGCGCGCGUACGCAAUACGUCUUCGAGUAACUUUAAUGAAACUUUCUCGGGAAUCGACGAGAAUUUCAUUCAGUAACGGCAACGCGUCGUAAAUAAAUAAAAUCGUUCUCCACAGCUAUCGGGGAAUGCGCAAACGUUCGCAAGAAUUCAAGAAGCGAUUGUGGUGCGUGAGUGCGUGCGUGCGUGCGUGCGUAACAUGGACGCGUGAGUUCGCAUAAUCAUGGUAGUUCAAUUAGAUUUGUUUCUGUUAUGAAAAAUUUAUAGAAACUGUCCAGACUGAUGAAAUAGCAGUUUUUAGAUAUACAUUUUCUUCUAAUUUAUUUCGCAUCAAUUGUUUAAAACGCAAAGGCUUAAUUUGAUAAUACACAUACAAUUUCUGAUUCUUUAAGCAAAAAUAAAAUUUAGUGGCAGUACAUAUUAUAUUAAACUAAGUGAUGUACAUAUGUAAUAUUUCAUAUACUCGUGGAUGAUUAAAUGUAGAUUAUUUAUUUGUGAUGUAAUAAAUGUACCGCAUCAAUUGUA